AUUGAACGCUGGCGGCAGGCCUAACACAUGCAAGUCGAGCGAGCGGCGGGCGGGGGAGUAAUGUAUGGGGACUGCCCGAUAGAGGGGGAUAAAACCUGGAAACGGUGGCUCAUAUCGCACACUGUAUGAUAACCCCUAUGGGAGUAGCUAGUAGGUAAGGUAAAGGCUUACCUAGGCGACGAUCCCUAGCUGGUCUGAGAGGAUGAUCAGCCACACUGGGACUGAGACACGGCCCAGACUCCUACGGAGGCAGCAGUGGGGAAUAUUGCACAAUGGGCGCAAGCCUGAUGCAGCCAUGCCGCGUGUAUGAAGAAGGCCCUAGGGUUGUAAAGUACUUUCAGUCGGGAGGCGUUACCGACAGAAGAAGCACCGGCUAACUCCGUGCCAGCAGCCGCGGUAAUAC
Molecule: ribosomal RNA, 403 nt
Filed under: uncultured bacterium
Lineage: Bacteria
Description: partial 16S ribosomal RNA
Rfam family: Bacterial small subunit ribosomal RNA
Source: RNAcentral